UACGUAGGGUGCGAGCGUUGUCCGGAAUUAUUGGGCGUAAAGAGCUCGUAGGCGGUUUGUCGCGUCGGCCGUGAAAACCUGCAGCUUAACUGUGGGCUUGCGGUCGAUACGGGCAUCACUGGAGUUCGGCAGGGGAGACUGGAAUUCCUGGUGUAGCGGUGAAAUGCGCAGAUAUCAGGAGGAACACCGGUGGCGAAGGCGGGUCUCUGGGCCAUUACUGACGCUGAGGAGCGAAAGCGUGGGGAGCGAACAGG
RNAcentral lists this ribosomal RNA (254 nucleotides) under uncultured bacterium. RNAcentral describes it as "partial 16S ribosomal RNA". It matches the Rfam family "Bacterial small subunit ribosomal RNA", at positions 524 to 776 of the family's 1533-position model. The record is from RNAcentral.